CUGACAAAAAGUAUAUAGUUACUGGUCUUCAAUGCUCAACAAAAUUUGCUGGCCUCAAACGGACAUAUAAAAAUAUAUAUGAGCAGAAUAAAAAAAGUGGUAACUCCCACAGUAGUUGGGCUUUUUAUUCAGUAAUGGAUUCAUUACUUGGUGAAAAGGCAUAUAUACAACCUCCAGCUGAAGCGUCCAGCGAAGGUCCAUCACAACCGAUACUAUCUACAUCAGGAUCUUUAUCUCCAGCGAGUUUCUCAGAGGAUUUACGAAGUGCGCCUAAAAAAAGACGAGUUGAGAA
Molecule: non-coding RNA, 292 nt
Organism: Nylanderia fulva
Lineage: Eukaryota; Metazoa; Arthropoda; Insecta; Hymenoptera; Formicidae
Source: RefSeq, a predicted model, not a curated record